This is a long non-coding RNA of Ananas comosus (pineapple), 2477 nucleotides long. RefSeq lists it as uncharacterized. The transcript is spliced from 3 exons. NCBI's taxonomy places the organism in Eukaryota, Viridiplantae, Streptophyta, Magnoliopsida, Poales, Bromeliaceae. The record is from RefSeq and is a predicted model, not a curated record.
GAUGUAGAUGUAGGGAUAGAGAUAGAGAUAGAGAUAGAGAUAAGAGUUGGGAUAGAGAUUAGAAGUGGGGAUUGGAGAUAGACGAGAAUUUGGAGAAGAAGGGUUUAGAGGAGAAGAACUUUUGGGGAAGGAAAAGCUAAUUCAUUUCAUUCAUAAUUCCCUGUUGCAAUUACAUUCUUGUAUAUUCGUACUCGCCACUGCUUAGUACUCAAAUUAAAGCAAACUAUCCUAUGAGAGCUAAACUGCAAAAUAGGCAAAAAUGGGGGUGAGACUUGCUGGGCUGAUUUUUGCUCGCGGGCUGGGCUUCCGCUGGCUUGCUCGGUCCGAAACUGCCUGAUAAGCGGGUAAGCGGCUCGCGGGUCCGCCUUCUCCGCACUAUCCAUUAUUGGGAUGGUUUUGGGUCCGCCUUUUGCAUCCGCUCCGGUUACUUGGAGGUCCGAUCCGUCAACCUCUGAAGCAUAGCCACUUUCCCCCAAAUAGCUGUGCGCUCCGAUGAUGCCCUAAUCCCCGUCGACGCCGGAGUUCCGCCUGAACGCCACUGCCGCCGGUUCACCCUGCCGGCUCGCUUCCCACCAACCUGUUGUUGCCACUUAUUUCAUCCCUAUCUCGUAAAGGGAGGGCUAAAAGUUCACGAAUCCUAAUGCGACCAGCGAGGAAGUUACCCGAGGAAGAAGAGGAAGAAGAUGAGGAGAGAGUCGAGUAACCAGCCAUUUUGGAGGAUCCACAUGCUCGAUUUCAACCAACAACCACUCUUGAUUAAUAAUUGCACUCUUAUUAAUCAUUACUCAGUUAUGCGAUUUUAGUUAUUUGAAGCGAAAAUUGCACUGCUAGUCUCGAAAUUAAGGAAUUCCAUUUGAAUCACAAAACUUUGUUGUCUUGCAAUUGGUGCACUGAAUUUCGAUAUAUUUUACAGCAGGAUUUAACCUUCAUGUGUCAGGAUUAAUAAUUGCACUCUUAUUAAUCAUUACUCAGUUAUUGAUUUUGAAUGUGUGGAUCGUUAAUUUAAACGUUGUAUCGUCGAAAAAAUGAGUUUAAAAACUCUUAUGGUAUCUUAUAUCAUAACAAGUCUAUCAAGAAUUAUGAUUUUAUUCGGAGAUCAAUAGUUCGGCGUUUAUAUUCAGAAAUCAGUAGUUGGGAGUCCAAUUCGUGAAAGUAUUUUGCUGGGUAUAUUAUCAUAUUCCGAUCUGAAAUGUUUCUGCCAAAUUCAAAAUGAUUUUAUACAGAGUUCAUAUGAUUUUAUUUAAACCUCUUAUGGUUCUAUCAGAAUACAAUAUGAUAUUGAUAUUUUAUAUAAUUUGUAUGAUAUAAUGAGUCGAAAAGUAAGGUGUAAGUCAUAUUGUAGGGUGAGGAUCCGUCAUGAAUUGACACUUUCUUUAACUUUCAAUUAUUUUUAAUUUCAGUUAUUUCCACAAUAUUAAGACAACAGCUUUAUUAACUCUCAGAUGUCAAUUAAUCAAUACUGGAAUUAACGUUCCUAUCAGUUUAAAAAUUGACAGAGCUUUUAAAAUUUAAUAAAAUCAUCAUUAAAUUUAAUAAAAUUCCUAAUAAAUUUAAAGCGAAUGAUUUAACUUAAAAGUUUACCUUCCCAGAAAUGGGCUGAACGAUGUCAGCAUGUAACAUCCCUUCUUGAGCAAGUACUGUGUCAACUAACAUCCCUUGAGAGUGUCUAUUAUUGUCCCAACCUUGCAGAUUCUGAGCUGCCAAUGCUUGAUGCCGACGACAACGUUCAGAGGAAGAACAUAAACAACCUUGUCCAUUAAACUGGCGCUGUGAUCUUUAAAGGAAUCUGGUUCUCUUCAUCGGAAAAGUCGCAAAUGCCAGUUCUUCUGAACUCGGUAACAUUUGUUGGAGAAAAGACCAAGAUGCGAAGGUUUUAAUCUCUGAAAAGAUCUACGCUUUUGGUUUUGUCGUAACUUAAAUCUGCUACUGGCUGAAUUGCAUAGUUGGACUUCGCUUCAAAAGAUAUUCAUUCACGACCGCCGUAAUAUCCACUCCUCGGCAGAGAAUGGUCUAUUCACCUCGUUGACGAAGUUAGACAGCUUUCACAGCUGCAGGGAGCUGUUUAUGCAACAAUUUGAUGAUGUAUGAAGGACAGAAGAACCCUUAACUUUCUAGAAUUCCAUGGCUUUUCAGCAGUCGACAAACAAGCGUGCUGGAGUCGACUGAUGUUUUGAGAAGGCGACGGUGUUCCCACUUGGCUUGGACCUACGCGGCUUCUGCUUGCAGUUUCAUCUGGUGAGUUCGUGUACGGCGUAAACUUGCGGUAUCUUCUGCAGAGGGAUGGGAUGGUGAGUUUUGCUGAUGAAAGGAAUUUGGUUUAAAGUUGAAUUCGGAAUCUAAACGGGAAUAAGUAAAAAAUCAUUGCAUCAGUUAUGUGAUUACGCUAGCUAGUCGAAGAGUAAGUUGUACCACUAUUGUAUGAUUUGCUGCGAAUUUGCAUGUCAUCAAACUAUAAUUUCUUGCAAUUGAUGGACUAA